Molecule: small nuclear RNA, 165 nt
Organism: Chiloscyllium plagiosum (whitespotted bambooshark)
Lineage: Eukaryota; Metazoa; Chordata; Chondrichthyes; Orectolobiformes; Hemiscylliidae
Product: U1 spliceosomal RNA
Source: RefSeq, a predicted model, not a curated record
AUACUUACCCGGCAGGCGAGACACCAUGAUCAACAAGGAGCUUCUCCCAGGAUGAGGCUAUUCCAUUGCACUUCGGAUGCACUGAUGUCUGCGAUGUUCCCAGAUGCAGGAUACUUGACUGCAAAAGUAGUGGUAGUGGGGGCCAAUGCUUAUAGCGUUCAUUAG